CCGCAGGGAGGGACUGUGGCGCAGCCCGAGCCGUGGGUGGCCUGAGGUAAAGACACUUGGAGGGGUCGGGCUGUGUCCAGCGUUGCUGGAUUUCUGCUGUGGAGUCACUCAUUGAAGCAGGAGGGCAAGGAGUUACUGGAAAUGCCAAAAAAGAGCACUGAUGACCAGAUGGCAUCUUGGGACCAGGCAGGGGGAUGAUCUCUGCGUUAGAAAACCACAACUGGACUCAUCUGUGGAGCAUGCAGGGCCCCACAUUACUCAGCACUGACUCCCAAGAUGCUGAACAGUGGUGACCAGGAACACGCGACUGUCGAGUCAGCUGAGACGUGUGAAGGCUCACCCGUCCGAACACACGUCCAGCUUUGCUGCGGAUCAGUUCCAGGCUGUCGGGGUUCUUCUUCUGAGGCAUCAGGCUGCUCCCAGUGCUGAAAAAAAGGUGUUUGGACUCUAACACGCUCAGAAUCACGGGUCAGUGCAACAGCAUGGCUAGGAAGAAAACAUCAAGACAGAUGAAGCACCUGAGGUCAGAAAAAGUCACAAGGACCAAGAGGCAACUCUGGCAAAAGGAUGCAGUUGGCAUUUGCUGCCCACUCAGUGCUUGCGCCACCCAGGAACACAGGGAGAGCCUGUUCCAGUUUGCAAGAAGACCCUGCUGCUGCCCUGGUUGGUGUCAGUCAGAGAGCAAGCCUGGAAGUCUCCUGCCCCUGCAAGGCCAAGGCUGUGGAUACGGAAAAGGACUUACAUGGCAGCGCGUUCCACCAGGGUCUUAAUGAGCUGCAGGAGUGUGCAGCUUUCCAGCUAUGUCGCCAAUCAGCUCCUGAGGACAAGAGGAGGAUUUCUAUCAGUGUCUCUUUACUCUAAGGAGGAAACUGCACGAGCAGAUCUCCUCCUUGCCUGGAAGGGACUCAGCUCUAGGAUCCUCUACCGUGGACAGCAAGAACCUGGCCCAACAGUUUGCAAACUUAUCUGUGCCAGGGCUUCGUUACCCAGACAAAGCACUGUUGAGUAACCUUAGAAACACCAGUCACUUUCCCUAGUGACCGUCUCCACGCGUCUGCCGAUCCCCGCUGAACCAACACGCCUGAGAGGACAGCAGGAGAGAGCCUACAGAGGACACCUCCGAGACCACCCCGCCGGAGAAGCAAAGUUCAUCCUCACCUCGGCUGCCAUUUCGGACGACGUUUGUGCAGCGAUCCCGACAACCGGUGCAACCUGUGGAACAGCGGGGUGAGGUCCUUGUUGUAGGUGCUUGGAAGUCCUUUGAGAACCAUGAGAAUAGCAGCCAACUGGAGAGAGAAAGAGGCUCACCCGUCCGAACACACGGCCAGCUUUGCUGCGGAUCAGUUCCAGACUGUCGGGGUUCUUCUUCUGAGGCAUCACGCUGCUGCCAGCGCUGAAAGAAAGUGUUUGGAGUGUAACAGAGAGUAAGACCCCUGUCUUACAGACAUGGGAUAAGACAGGGGAUGCAACAUACUGGUACAGCCCUCCAAAGGUGAGAUAUACGUCCCUGUACCCUGGACACCUUUCUAGGGUGUAGGAAAACUGAGUGUGUGGAAUUUCUCAUGUUUCUCAAAACAGAGCCUUUGCUUUUGCAGUCUUUACUAGAGCCAUCACACAGCUCCACCUCUCAAAGAGGAAGCAAAAUGGAGGUUUGCCUCCAAGCCCGUCCAGUGUUGGUAUUAACAGGGCAGCCAAAGUGUUGGUGUGGCCUCAGAGAGGGAGGGCUGUGAUUGUGCCAGAGACAGGAAGUCUGUUAGGAUUGCAAAUCCGGCUGGUCAAGGGAGGGCUUUGGCUGGCAUUCCCAGCAGAGGAGGAAGUUGUCUCUGCCAGCACUUGCUGGGGAGGAGUGUCUGCUGAAUGCAUGCUUAGUUGAGUUACCAGAAUCAGAAAGAAGUGGUUAUUACUGAAGAAUAUUCACCCUUAAGGCUGCUUUGCUGCCAGCUUUCUAAUGCUGUGUCAGCAGGGAGACCCCAACCACUGUCUCCAUUCUCCCAGGUGAGAAAAGCUGAGGAGAAUUACUCCCCAGCAUCCAGAAACC
This is a long non-coding RNA of Calidris pugnax (ruff), 2038 nucleotides long. RefSeq lists it as uncharacterized. NCBI's taxonomy places the organism in Eukaryota, Metazoa, Chordata, Aves, Charadriiformes, Scolopacidae. The record is from RefSeq and is a predicted model, not a curated record. The transcript has 11 exons.